This 433-nucleotide ribosomal RNA is filed under the name uncultured bacterium. RNAcentral describes it as "partial 16S ribosomal RNA". It matches the Rfam family "Bacterial small subunit ribosomal RNA", at positions 29 to 507 of the family's 1533-position model. The record is from RNAcentral.
AACGAACGCUGGCGGCAUGCCUAACACAUGCAAGUCGAACGAGACCUUCGGGUCUAGUGGCGCACGGGUGCGUAACGCGUGGGAACCUGCCCUUAGGUUCGGAAUAACUCCCCGAAAGGGGUGCUAAUACCGGAUAAUGUCUUCGGACCAAAGAUUUAUCGCCUUUGGAUGGGCCCGCGUUGGAUUAGCUAGUUGGUAGGGUAAAAGCCUACCAAGGCGACGAUCCAUAGCUGGUCUGAGAGGAUGAUCAGCCACACUGGGACUGAGACACGGCCCAGACUCCUACGGGAGGCAGCAGUGGGGAAUAUUGGACAGUGGGCGAAAGCCUGAUCCAGCAAUGCCGCGUGAGUGAUGAAGGCAUUAGGGUUGUAAAGCUCUUUUACCCGGGAUGAUAAUGACAGUACCGGGAGAAUAAGCUCCGGCUAACUCCGUG